This 7500-nucleotide long non-coding RNA is filed under the name Physcomitrium patens. RNAcentral describes it as "long non-coding RNA (PPAT_LNC007625)". The record is from RNAcentral. Lineage: Eukaryota; Viridiplantae; Streptophyta; Bryopsida; Funariales; Funariaceae.
AGACGUUACAGAGAACCCCGAACAUCCCAAACUGUUAAUCUUCAAUACCCCUUUGUACUUACGAUCUUGUAUCCACUGACUGUCCUGUUAGAUUAACCUAAUAAAUUUCAUUCACUCCGCAUACUCAAUCCUAUAGACACCCCUUUAAUCCUUCAAUCACAGACGUAACUCGAUUUUAUAAAACAGUCAAGAGUAUUCAAACCCACUUCAUUUAAAAAUCCCGAUUCACCAUUACAACACUGACUUCAGCAGCGAUUGCCUCAGUCUUCCCAAAACUCUAUGAAGAAGAAAAAUCCAAAUUCUCUAUCUAAUUCCCUUGAUCUUCAAAAACCUCCAAUGAAAACCGAACUGGUAACUUUGCAAAAGCUUGAAAAACUCGCUCCCUGAUUCCCCCUCAAAACUAUAUCCCCACUAACCUUAUCCUCUGAAUUUCUUCAAUCUUCCGUCUUAGAUCCGGAAUUGGCUCCCACCUCAAGCUUGGAUCCAAAAUUGGCUCUCGCCGUCAAGCUUUCUCCUCCGUUUUUACCUUUAAGAAUCCAUUUACCGAAAACAACGUUCCCUGAAACGGCACAGAGAACAGGACAGCCUGAAACAGAAUCGAACCCCGUAAUCAGGACCACAUUGAGUCGCUCGACCAAUUCAGGUCCUAUAUUGGGAAAGAUGCCCGUAGUAACCAGGAUGUUCCCGUAAUUGUGUCAAAUUGGUCCUCGCGUCAGAUUGGCUAAGACCCGUAAUAAGACCUGGAUUUCUCGUAAUUGGGUCAAAUUGGUCCUCGCUUCAGAUUGGCUAAGACUCGUAGUAAGACCUGGAUUUCCCGUAAUUAGACUACAUUGAGUCGCCCGACCAAUUCAGGUCUCAUAUUGGAUAAGAGGAUCCGGAUUGGAUUAUCGAAAUUGGAUCCAAUUGGCUCCUCGAACCCGUCGUGUGAAUUCGUCCUUCUGUUCAUGCUCACUCUCGUUAUUGGAAUCGAACGGAGCAUUUCAGUAUGCCUCGGCUGACUGUAACGGAGUGACUGAACCUGACCACUCAGUAUUUGUACUGGAGUUGGUCGAUGCUCCCAAUAUUCGAGGUAACUGAAUAUUAAUAAAUUUCCCUUUUCUUUUUAUUUUCACUGUGUACUUGUGUUACAACACGACAUCCACCCCCUCUGAACCUAUGCAUCCUCCGGUAUGCACCAAUUUACCCAAUUGCUGUUUGAUUCAGAAUAUAUCCCCUACGUCUUUGUCCAGUUCGUCUUCGUCACCGUCAUUAUCCAUAUCACUUUCAUCUUCUUGCUGCGGAAUCUCUGUACCUUCAUUAAGGUCUUCCAUAUUCAUCUCUGCGUAUCUUCGUUUAAAUAUUUUUACUCGCUUUCCUGUAAUUGAUAUUUUCAAUUUUGUACCAUCUAACUCCAGUAAUGAGUAAGUCGCAUUAUCAUGAAAAGUUGUUACAACAUAUGGUCCAAACCAACGUUUUGAAAAUUUCCGCAAAGUAUUAUGUUGAUUAUCCAGACUAUUGUCAUAAACAAGUACCCAGUCACCUUCCUCGAUUGCUUUUGGUCUCAAUCGAUGUUGCUUAUCAAAUCGCGCCUUGUUUUGUAACCUUGCUCUUUUUAACCUUCCCAAUGCUAUCUGAACAUCUUCCGUUCUUUGCUCCAAUUGUCGAAUCCUAAUAGCCAGAAGUUCUUCUCUUAUCAAUCCAUCUUCCUAUGGUAGCAUACUCCAAGUAAGUACCUUUUCUUCAAUCGACAUAAUUGGUUUUUGACCUGUCAUAAGUUCUACUAGCAUAUAUCUUGUCACCGAACUAUGUAUUGUUCGAUCAGCCCAUAAUGUAAAUGACAAAAGCCGUGGCCACUCUUUAACUUUCUCAUUACAAGCUUUAACUAAGGCUUUCACAAUCGGUGGGUGACCGCGUUCGCUUUUUGCAUUCCCUUCUGGAUUAUAAGCAGUAGUCAGUGAUAGUUUAACUCCACAUCUUUCAAAGAACUUACGAGCUUCUUGUGCAUUUAAUUCUCCACGAUCUGCAGUGAUUUUUCCUACACACCCGUAACGGCAAAUGACAUCUUCGAGCAAAAACCUACAAAUCUCCUCUGUAGAUUUUGUCCUCAAUGCUCUUCCUUCUACUUGAUUCGAUAAAUCUUCAUGAGCUAAAACCAAAUAUCUCAUCUGCCAUAACCCAACCGGCAUAAUAACCAAAUCAACAACCCAUUUAAAAUGAAUAGCCAGAGGGUACGUAGGAUGAAGACCAUCUCGAUGUUGGAUAUUAGAAUACGAUUGACAGAUUUCACAUGACUCUAUAAAUGAGAGCACAUCUUGAUACAUAUUUUUCCACCAAUAUCGUUCCUUGAGUUUAGCAAAAGUAGCCCAGAUUCCUCUAUGCCUUGCCCAUAAACUAUCAUGAAACUCCUUUAAUAAUUUUAGUUUUUCUUCCCUUUUGCCUAUCACUCGUUGUGGCAUCCCAAUUCCUUUCUUCGGUCUCUUCCAUAAGAAUCCAUCUCGAAGUAAAAAUCCAUAUGCUUUUUUUCUUAUUUGUUUGAAUUUUUCUGUAGACCAAUUCCCCUGCUUAGAGAAGGUAUUCAAAUAAUGACCAAUAUCCAAUAAUUCUCCUUCAUAAGAUUCUUCAAGAAAUAGCUUGUCUUCUCAAUUGAGAUUUGAUAUUGAAUAGAAUUUCAAUCCGACGUCAUCAAUGUCUUCAACCAUUUCGUCCUCCCUCUCGUAUCUUGCUCGAGAUAGCAUGUCUGCUACUAAAUUGUCCUUCCCAGUAAUAUGCUUAAAUUCUGGAUUUAGUGACUUAAUAUAAGCAAUCCAUCUCAACAUUGCAAUAUCUGGCGUUGAACAGUUAAUAAUCAUUUCAAGCAAUGGCAAGCAACUUGUUUCAAUUACUACUACUGUCCCAAUCAAAUAGUCCUUUUCAGCUUUCAUAGCCGAAACAACUCCCCAAAGUUCUCUUUUGACUUACAAAUAUGCACGCUGACGAAUACUUAAAACUUUAGCCCCAAACCGAACUGCAAAUCUACUCCCAUUUGAAUCAUCUUGACCCACAGCCCAUCCAAUGGCAAUUGGACUAGCGUCCACAGUAAGAAUCACUGGUCUAUUGCACUUAUAAUCAACCUUCCUCAAUAUUGGAGGUGACAUCAAUAAAUUCUUCAAUCUUUGCAUUGCCUGAAUAUGCCUUUCUUCCCAUUUAAAUUGGUAGCCCUUGCGUAACAGUUCAUAUAAUGGAUCCACUAUGUGAGCAAAAUGAGGGAUCCAGAUUCGAUAAAAUACACAUGCACCUAAAAACCUACGAACCUCUAUUAAAGAAUCACAAUCCUCUUUCAUCCUUCCAAUUGCAUCAACUUUAGUCGGAUCUGGUUUUCUUCCGUAAGAUCCGCAUAAAUGUCCAACAAUUACAACCUCUCGCACUCCAAAUACGGACUUCAUACCCGAUAAUGUAAGAUGACUUCUCCAAGCCGAGUUAAAUCUUUUCACAAUCUGUAUAUGAUAACAACAUGACCACUCGGCUCAACGGCGUUGGUGCAAAUGCUGNNNNNNNNNNNNNNNNNNNNNNNNNNNNNNNNNNNNNNNNNNNNNNNNNNNNNNNNNNNNNNNNNNNNNNNNNNNNNNNNNNNNNNNNNNNNNNNNNNNNCAUUCACCGGUUGCAUAUCUUGAAUAAACCGUAGUGACCCAUUCUUCUUAGGUACCGUAAACCAUCGACUAGAAUACGGCGCAAAUGAAGGUUCUAAUAUUUUCAUCUUUAUCUUUUCUUUCAAUAGUUCUACCAAUUUAGGUAAAUGUGCCCUCGGUACUGGAAUCGGUCUUAGAUUCCAAGGUACAUGCGAUACAGUGAAGAUAACCAUAGGUGUUAUAAUAUUUGGAUCCACACAUCCAAUUUCAUGAGAUUCGAAGGCAAAUGAUCUACCUUGUUUAGCCAACAUCUUUUUGAAGCAAGUAAUUUUCUCCGUUAGUAAAGAACCAUCAGAACCAAUCUUCAAUUCUUCAAAAGUCUCUUUAGUAAACUGAUGUCCAAUACUCAUUGGAUCUCUUAAACUUGCUUCUUUUGAUGCUUCUCCCAUUUGUUCUUUAGAAUCUUCUAGUAAUGGUCCGGCAACAGGCUUUACCUUCUUAUCUACCGUUUUAUAUCUCGUCUCUACUGUGACUUCUAGUGCUUGAAAAGAUUCAAGCAUGGUAUAAACCUCUCUCGAAUGAAUCUCAACAAUCUUAUCAUUAUCCCCUAACCCAAUAGAUGUAAUCAAUUCCAAUGAAUCUUCUAGUCCAUUUUCUUCAUAAACACCCAAAAUCCUCUCAUCAUCUUGCAAUGUACCUAUCUUGCGUAAUUGUCCUUCAAUAUCAUAUAAUCUUUUUCUUUCUUUUCUUUUAAAAUCAUCAACUUUCUUAUACAUAAUAUUUCCAUUCUCCAAUAUACCAAUAAAACUCGCAUCAAAGACACCUGCAUCUCGCGAGAGUACCUCCUCUUUUGUACCUCCAUAAUCUCGCUUUACAGUGGUACCUCCCCAAAAUCCUUAAAUCCUUCAACAAUCUUUGGCAAUGGUUUCUCCCUCAACCUAUCUCGAUUCCGUUCAUGGUUAGGAGGUACUGUUAGAAAUUGUACAGCUUUCCUCCCAUCUUCGCUCCGUACCCUUGCAUAAGCAUAACCAUCGUUAAGUACCUUUCUUUCCAUCCGUGUUGCCGUGAUAUAAGGUUGUCCUAAAAUCAACGGAUAAGACGUUGUAUCUUGAACGAAGAAAUGUUGCUUCGUCGCAACAUCCCUGAUCCGAAUUUUGACAUCUGGACAAGCUCCAUAUAAUUCGCCUCGUGUGUUAUUAGCUGCUCGUAUUGCCCAUCCAUGUUCCAUAUCAAUUGGCCAUUUUUGCUUCUUAUAAAGAUCUUUAGACAUGAGAUUUAUUUCAAAACCAUGGUCCAGCAAGGCAACUAUUGGUUCUUCUAUAUCUCCUACCUUCACCAAUACCUCAGUAGUUGCCCUUGCCCAAUGCUUUCGAGUAUAAUGGCUCAAAGUUUCCAUUUCCUUGUUACUAGAAUCUUCGAAACGUACUUGUUGAUUAUAUCCAUUCUUUUCAUUUGUUGGUUGCUUGUAACCAAUAUCAACCUCUUCUUCAUCUCUACAUAUUUUUGCAUCAAUAGCAUGACUCAUUACAGUUUCGCUCAUUAAUUGCCUCUUUCGCUUAAUGCUGUCAAUGAUAACAUCAUGAAACUCCUUCUUUGCAAUUCCCAAGACUUCUUUCAAUGUGAAUUCCACCUUAGCGUUUAAUAUACGUUCUUCCAACAUCCCUUUCAAAUUUGUUGCCGCUUCAAUGUCAGAAAGUAGCUUAUAAGCAAUUGAUUUGCCCUUAUCUUUUGUCUCCGUUGUUUUUUCUCCCAAUGAUGCUGAGGUAUCCUUUACAGGCAAUUCUUGUGAAGCUGCCUCCCGAGCCUUGUCUCCUCGAGUUUGCCUCUUAGAAGAAUUUCCUUCUCUAGUAUCAUCAAAAUUUCCUCGUCUCUUUUCUUCCAUCAAAGCUUCAUGUUGGCUCUUAGCAAUAUAUGCAUGAACUGAAAGAGACUCAACAGGAUCCUCUCAACGUGUUCUACCUCGUAUUGUAGCUGCAGUUCUCAAUAACGCUUCUCGAGGUAAUUUCCCUUCUUGCAUUGUAGAAACGGUAGAAGUCCAAAACUCACUAGUUUCCAUACUUCCACCAAUUUCAUCAUCUACUCUAGCACCAUAACUUGCACUUUCUCGUGCUACUGUUUCAUGCCCUUUUAAGUAAUCUUGAACCAAUGUUCUCAUUCCUCUCUUGCCAAAAUUGGUUUGAAGAAGAUCCUCCCUAUCUUUCAAUGCUAUCUUCCCAUCUUUUCAGCAAAUAACUCCCUACCAUAUCAUAUUAUUAAAUUCAUUGCAAUCUUUUCUAGUGUGUGAAGCAUCAUCACACUAAUGCAUCUUUGUACAUAUCCUUGUUUUGAAACAUUCUUCGAAUUGUUUAUAGAAGUAUUCUCUUCAAGUCUUGCCAAUUUGAUUUGAAGAUCUCGCAUUCCUCGUAUAAUUUCUUCCAUACCCAUAUCUGCUUUCUUUGACAAGGAUGUCAAAGGUUGAACUGUAGGCAUUGUCGGUGGUGUUGUACGUACUGGAGCUUUGGGUGCUUGUACUAUUUUCGGAAUAUUGCUCCUAUCCUUCCUCCUUUCUUUUUUUGUAAGCAACCCCACCGCAUCUUCAACGUUCUUCCACUUCGUUGUCAAUCCUUCAUCUUCUUCUUUGUCUUCAAGAAGGGGUUCUAAUUUCUCUUGCAAUUCUCCAUCAGCAGCUUGAAGAAAUAGAUCAACUUUGUUCGGCUCCAAUGUCAAUUUUUUACCUUCGAUAAUUGAGAGUACUGCCUCUCAAAUUCCCUUAGUAGCUCUGUUGCUUGUAAAUUCUUAUUGGGCCGUUCAAUCCAUCCCAGAAACAGCUUCUUAGUAACGCGAUCAGCAUCUUCCAAGAAAUAUUCGUCUUUCAAUGCAUGUGAAAAAUCCUCCCAUGAAUUCCCACAAUGAUCCGUAAUCGAUGUAAUGUAGUCCCUUAUCUCCGGUAUCGUGGCAAGUCCAAAUAAUACAACCAUUUUCUUCUCAGAAACCCGAUUUAAUUCCAUUUCACGAACAUAACAUCUUAAAUACCUUAAAAUAUUCCUCCCAUCAAAUUGAUCAAUUUUAUUGACCACUGCUUGUAUUGCUUUGGUUGCCAAAGCUUCCUUUCGAUCAUUGCUUUGCUGUUGCUGCAUUGACAAUGAGAAGGCUUGAAACAAACUAGCAAUAGACGGAUCCAUGUGCAUAAAUUUGUCCUUUAGAAGACUCUCCACCAGAAACUCCUCCCAAAAAUCCUUCAAAAUUUUUAUUUUCGUUUUCCAUAAAAAUAAAGAUAAAAUCAACCAAAAUCCAGUACCUUCUACCUCAAGCUUUCACGUCGGGUUCACCACUUAUGUCGUAUUACGUGCUUUCCUGCUCGAGAACGCGCCGGGCGUCUGACUGUAGAAGGUAGUAUAGAGAUUUGCUGAUAAUCAAGCAGUCUAUCAGUUUUUGACUGCUGGAAUAUAAACGACUGCAACAAUGUAUCGUAAAUCUAUACGGAUGCUCUUUGACUGCUUGUCGAAGUCUUUUUUUUUUUUUUUUUUUUUUUUUUUUUUUUUUUUUUCUAGCCGAUAGGUCUCUAGACGUUACAGAGAACCCCGAACAUCCCAAACUGUUAAUCUUCAAUACCCCUUUGUACUUACGAUCUUGUAUCCACUGACUGUCCUGUUAGAUUAACCUAAUAAAUUUCAUUCACUCCGCAUACUCAAUCCUAUAGACACCCCUUUAAUCCUUCAAUCACAGACGUAACUCGAUUUUACAAAACAGUCAAGAGUAUUCAAACCCACUUCAUUUAAAAAUCCCGAUUCACCAUUACAACACUGACUUCAGCAGCGAUUGCCUCAGUCUUCCCAAAACUCUACGAAGAAGAAAAAUCCAAAUUCUAUGUCUUUUCUUCCCCGACCCGAAGCAUGAAGCUCCUCUCUCUAAUUCCCUUGAUCUUCAAAAACCUCCA